RNAcentral lists this ribosomal RNA (411 nucleotides) under uncultured bacterium. RNAcentral describes it as "bacterial SSU rRNA". It matches the Rfam family "Bacterial small subunit ribosomal RNA", at positions 30 to 440 of the family's 1533-position model. The record is from RNAcentral.
AUUGAACGCUGGCGGCGUGCUUAACACAUGCAAGUCGUGCGGUAACAGGCGUAGCAAUACGUGCUGACGAGCGGCGAACGGGUGCGUAAUACAUGGGAAUCUGCCUUUUAGUGGGGAAUAACCCGGCGAAAGCCGGGCUAAUGCCGCAUAAGAUCUUCGGAUGAAAGCGGGGGAUCGUAAGACCUCGCGCUGAUAGAUGAGCCCAUGCCGGAUUAGCUAGNGGUGAGGUAACGGCUCACCAAGGCGACGAUCCGUAGCUGGUCUGAGAGGACGGCCAGCCACACUGGGACUGAGACACGGCCCAGACUCCUACGGGAGGCAGCAGUGGGGAAUAUUGGACAAUGGGGGAAACCCUGAUCCAGCGACGCCGCGUGUGUGAAGAAGGCCUGCGGGUUGUAAAGCACUUUCGGU